GACGAACGCUGGCGGCGUGCUUAACACAUGCAAGUCGAACGGAAAGGCCCUGCUUGCGUGGUACGCUAGUGUGGAACAGGUGAGUAACACAUGUGUGAUCUGCCCUGUUCUUCUUGAUAAACUUGCGAGACUGGGUCUAAUACCCGAUAUGAGACCUCCUGAUUGUGGUGGUUGGAAAGAUUUUUCCGUGUAGGAGGAGACGCGACUCCCUAUCUUACUUGUUGGUGGGGGAAUGACCUACCAUACGCGGGCACUGAUAGCCAGCCUGACAGGGAGUACGACCACAUUGGUACUGACAUACAGACCACACUCAUACCUAAGGCAGGAAUGGGGAAUAUAGAACUAUGGGCGCAAGCAUGAUGGAUCGACCCCCCGUGCGGGAUGAAUGACUUCCGUUUGUAAACUCCUUUCUUUACGCACGAACCUUUUUGUGACUGACACCUAAAUAAUAAGCACCGGCUAACUACGCACCUGCAGCCGCCGUAAUACAUACGGAGCGAGCGAUGUCCGGAAUGUACUGAUCGUAAAGGGCCCGUAGGUGGUUUGUCGCGUCGUCUGUGAAAUUCUGGGGCUUAAUUCCGGGCGUGCAGGCGAUACGGGCAUAACUUGAGUGCUGUAGGGGUAACUGGAAUUCCUGGUGUAGCGGUGAAAUGCGCAGAUAUCAGGAGGAACACCGAUGGCGAAGGCAGGUUACUGGGCAGUUACUGACGCUGAGGAGCGAAAGCAUGGGUAGCGAACAGGAUUAGAUACCCUGGUAGUCCAUGCCGUAAACGGUGGGCGCCAGGUGUGAGGGUCUUUCUACGACUUUCGUGCCGUAGCUAACGCAUUAAGCGCCCCGCCUGGGGAGUACGGCCGCAAGGCUAAAACUCAAAGGAAUUGACGGGGGCCCGCACAAGCGGCGGAGCAUGUGGAUUAAUUCGAUGCAACGCGAAGAACCUUACCUGGGCUUGACAUACAUCAGAUCGCUGCAGAGAUGUAGUUUCCCUUUGUGGUUGGUGUACAGGUGGUGCAUGGUUGUCGUCAGCUCGUGUCGUGAGAUGUUGGGUUAAGUCCCGCAACGAGCGCAACCCUUGUCUUAUGUUGCCAGCAUUUGGUUGGGGACUCAUGAGAGACUGCCGGGGUUAACUCGGAGGAAGGUGGGGAUGACGUCAAAUCAUCAUGCCCCUUAUGUCCAGGGCUUCGCACAUGCUACAAUGGUCGGUACAACGCGCUGCGACACUGUGAGGUGGAGCGAAUCGCUGAAAGCCGGCCUUAGUUCGGAUUGGGGUCUGCAACUCGACCCCAUGAAUUGGGAGUCGCUAGUAAUCGCAGAUCAGCAAUGCUGCGGUGAAUAGGUUCCGGGGCU
This 1345-nucleotide ribosomal RNA is filed under the name uncultured bacterium. RNAcentral describes it as "partial 16S ribosomal RNA". It matches the Rfam family "Bacterial small subunit ribosomal RNA", at positions 28 to 1380 of the family's 1533-position model. The record is from RNAcentral.